AUGCCAAAACAGGCUGAUGGGAAACCUUUUCUGCUCUUUGUCCUUUGGAAUACAGAGAAAACCAAUGAGAGCCCCAAAAUGGCUUUUUUUUGCACCUGCCUGCUGACUCUCCAUCUCUUUCAGCUGUGCUUUCUGCUAUCAAAAUAUGAUCCUAGGAUCUGUGGUCUUGCAAAAUGCUCGGUCUCUGCAGCGGUGCUAAAACAUUGCCAAUCCAACAUCACUAGAAGAAAUAAUGGUUUCAGUAGCAGUAAUGUUUAACUAGAGUUCUUGGCUAACAUGACUGCUAGCAAGAUUUGGAUUCUUCCACCUCUAGAUCCCCCUGACAUGUGCUGACCCUCCUCACAGUUAAGAGGUCUGUGUGAUA
Molecule: long non-coding RNA, 364 nt
Filed under: Taeniopygia guttata (zebra finch)
Lineage: Eukaryota; Metazoa; Chordata; Aves; Passeriformes; Estrildidae
Description: lncRNA (ENSTGUG00000027261.1)
Source: RNAcentral